CCUACGGGAGGCAGCAGUGGGGAAUUUUGGACAAUGGGCGCAAGCCUGAUCCAGCAAUGCCGCGUGAGUGAAGAAGGCCUUCGGGUUGUAAAGCUCUUUUGUCAGGGAAGAAACGGUGGGAGCUAAUAUCUCCCGCUAAUGACGGUACCUGAAGAAUAAGCACCGGCUAACUACGUGCCAGCAGCCGCGGUAAUACGUAGGGUGCAAGCGUUAAUCGGAAUUACUGGGCGUAAAGCGUGCGCAGGCGGUUUUGUAAGUCUGUCGUGAAAGCCCCGGGCUCAACCUGGGAAUUGCGAUGGAGACUGCAAGGCUUGAAUCUGGCAGAGGGGGGUAGAAUUCCACGUGUAGCAGUGAAAUGCGUAGAGAUGUGGAGGAACACCGAUGGCGAAGGCAGCCCCCUGGGUCAAGAUUGACGCUCAUGCACGAAAGCGUGGGGGANACAACGAGUAUAGACUACCGUAGGUACGUACCACCGUACCCGUAAACGAUCGUACUACGUUAGUUGGUUUACGGUUUUAAUUACGUUAGGUAACGCGAGACGUACGUCGUAGUAAGUACGACCGCCGGUGGGUAGGUACGGUCGACGAGAACGUUAAACGUAACUAAGUAGUAGUAGUACGGCGUGAGACGUACGACGACGACGACGACGGAGGGAGGAGG
RNAcentral lists this ribosomal RNA (660 nucleotides) under uncultured bacterium. RNAcentral's name for it is "bacterial SSU rRNA". The stretch from base 1 to 550 matches the Rfam family "Bacterial small subunit ribosomal RNA", at positions 338 to 873 of the family's 1533-position model. The record is from RNAcentral.